This is a long non-coding RNA of Felis catus (domestic cat), 992 nucleotides long. RefSeq lists it as uncharacterized. Lineage: Eukaryota; Metazoa; Chordata; Mammalia; Carnivora; Felidae. The transcript has 2 exons. The record is from RefSeq and is a predicted model, not a curated record.
CCUGUGAGAAGUCUGGAGGAGGGAACAGUGGUAUCCCCCAAGGAUGGGCUUUCCGGGCCUCUUCCAGAGCAGUCCAGGUUUGUGAAUCAAUGCCGGGGGUGGGCCCAGGAUAGUUUUCCUUUCCCCACGGAGGCCAUGAUUAAGAAGGCAUCUGUCUGUCAACAGAGGCUUUCAGCUGUAUUUCCAGCCCAGCUUCCUCCCGACUGACUCAUCCGGUGAUGCCACAAUCUAAUGUUUAUGACCUAACAGUCGAUCACCAUGGAAGUAGCACAAACCUUAGACUGUUGAGGAGCAAAACCAGCGUCGAGAUGCUGGACGGUUUAGGAAAAGAAAACAGAAGCCCCUUAUUCGUCGAGACCGCAUGUUAGGACUGAACACCCGAUUCCUCAUGUGGGUACUUCCAUCGGUUGCUAAAACUGAUACUUGGAUGCCUUCGUGCCUACUGGAGAACCCAAAUAAGGACUCAGGGUGACCAAGUACAAACAAAUGCCACGGCAUUUAGAACUGAAGAGCGAGAAGCAGAAGGGAAAAUGUGAAAAGAAGGCAGAAGAGGGCCAGUGAGAGCUGGCCAAUGAGAAGGCGGCCACAGUGGUGGCCUCUACUGGCAGUCGGGAGAUGGUCAGAUGCCAUUUUUCACAAAAAAAAGAGAAGCUAUUCUAGGUACCACCAGUUGAAAUGUGUGCUACGCUGGAGGAAGAAGUCUGAGUUGCCUACAAAUUGCCCAGCUAUUUCGGGGGAUUUUUUUUAUCGCCAUGUUGGUCUCAUUUUCCCAUGGAGGCCUUGGUGACAAAAGCAGGCAGUGGGGUAUAUUGCUAACAUGGCUGUGCCUUUGACCAGAUCACUUCACCUCCAGGGAUUUCAGAUUCUUUCUUUGUAAAAUGAACAUUGGGAUGUGAUGAUUUCCCAGAUCUCUCCCGGUUCCUGAGACUAAAGUCUGCAGGCUAGUUUGAUCACAUGCCUCCAUCACUAAAAUACAUUUGACUAUCUACCCA